GAUGAACGCUGGCGGCGUGCCUAAUACAUGCAAGUCGAACGGAGAAUUAGUAAUAGUUCUUAGUGGCGAACGGGUGAGUAACGCGUUGGUGACCUGCCCCGAAGAGUGGGAUAACAGAUCGAAAGGUCUGCUAAUACCACAUGUGGUCGUAGGAGUUAGAGGAUUUACGACUAAAAGGAGCGAUUCGCUUCGGGAGGGGCCUGCGUCCCAUCAGCUAGUUGGUAGGGUAAAAGCCUACCAAGGCGAAGACGGGUAGGGGACCUGAGAGGGUGACCCCCCACACUGGCACUGAAACACGGGCCAGACACCUACGGGUGGCAGCAGUAGGGAAUAUUGCACAAUGGGCGAAAGCCUGAUGCAGCAACGCCGCGUGCGCGAAGAAGGCCUUCGGGUUGUAAAGCGCUUUUCGGGGAGAAGAGGAAGGACGGUAUCCCCGGAAUAAGGCUCGGCUAACUACGUG
This 460-nucleotide ribosomal RNA is filed under the name uncultured bacterium. RNAcentral's name for it is "bacterial SSU rRNA". It matches the Rfam family "Bacterial small subunit ribosomal RNA", at positions 28 to 507 of the family's 1533-position model. The record is from RNAcentral.